This 253-nucleotide ribosomal RNA is filed under the name uncultured bacterium. RNAcentral's name for it is "partial 16S ribosomal RNA". It matches the Rfam family "Bacterial small subunit ribosomal RNA", at positions 524 to 776 of the family's 1533-position model. The record is from RNAcentral.
UACGGAGGAUGCGAGCGUUAUCCGGAUUUAUUGGGUUUAAAGGGAGCGUAGGCGGGUUGUUAAGUCAGUUGUGAAAGUUUGCGGCUCAACCGUAAAAUUGCAGUUGAUACUGGCAUCCUUGAGUACAGUAGAGGUAGGCGGAAUUCGUGGUGUAGCGGUGAAAUGCUUAGAUAUCACGAAGAACUCCGAUUGCGAAGGCAGCCUGCUGGACUGUAACUGACGCUGAUGCUCGAAAGUGUGGGUAUCAAACAGG